This is a long non-coding RNA of Astatotilapia calliptera (eastern happy), 1243 nucleotides long. The record is from Ensembl. NCBI's taxonomy places the organism in Eukaryota, Metazoa, Chordata, Actinopteri, Cichliformes, Cichlidae.
AUCACGGGUGACAAUGCAGGUCAGCCAGAAUUGAACCAGAACUAAUCACAGAGGCAUGUCGCUGUGACGUCAUAGGUUGUGAGUGACAGCGCUAAGUGCAGACUGCCGUGCUGAUUAUCAUCCGAUACCCUAGAUGGGUUGUCCGGUUAUAGGCUUGAUACGGUUGACAAUUAAGGACCACACCAUUGUUGGAGUAGUUUGAGGUUUGAAAGACGGAGCAUGACAGGCCCUGGGUUUGGUUUGAGCGGGGCGGGGAGGGACAGGCAAGAAAUGUUUAUCUCAUCAGUGUCUGAGGUCACUACAGAUGCAAAAACAUGGUGUGGUGAAGGGUGGAGUGACAGGCAGAGUGUGUAUUUCAUUUUUGAAAGAUACCUUCAUGUUCUCAUCUUUUUCUUUGAAAUAUACCAGGAAAAAACACAAAAAUACAUCUUUCUUCAACAGGUAAGUCCCACUGAAACUACUCUCUGAUUUUACUGCUUCAAAAAGAGUAAAAGGAUCAAAAAGGAUCUUUAGCCAUCAGAAUUGUUGUCUGAAGGCCAAGCGGAUUUACUUUACCAAGUGCAUCAUCAUGGCCUUGCCAUAUUGGUCCAUUUGAUUGACCUUUAUUAUAAUUCUGUAUUUAUUUUAUUUGAUUUUUGGUUGUUACAGAUGGGACAGACAUGACUGGGGGAUAGGACAGGGAGAAAGAAUGAAAGAAAGAGAGGGAGAGAAAGAAAAAUAGAGGGGAGAAGAGACGGUGAGAAAGGGGGGAAGAAAGAAAAAGAAAGACAAAAAAAACACCUGGAUCACCUGUAUGGAGAUAAGAAAAAGAAAAGAAAAGAGCAACAUAAUAAAUACAGCACCAUCACAAUAAACUAGCUAACGGUAGGUAACAGUAGAUACUAAAUAUUACAUGUUAUUGUGCAGUACGCAAGAUAGACAGCGCAAAAUGUGCUUUGAGGUAGCAGCCAAGAAAGGUGCAGUUUGUGUCUGUGAACACCCGUGUGUACACUUGUGUGCACACGGGUGUGGAUCAGCAUGCUUGUAUUCAAAAGGUUUCUCCAUGCAACGAUCUGCUAGGGAUUGUAGUGAGCCAUAGCCCCGUCCCCCAGGGCAUGAAGCAGGUAUGGAGGAGAUCCAGGCCCCAGACAUUCAAAGGCCCCAGAGCACGAGGACCCAAGGUGGACCACCACAGGGGCAACCGUGCCACCCUCCUGGGAAGAGCUGAGGAGAGCCCCAAACGAGAGGUCACCCAGCAGCCAUG